RNAcentral lists this ribosomal RNA (452 nucleotides) under Ardeadoris angustolutea. RNAcentral's name for it is "partial 16S ribosomal RNA". It matches the Rfam family "Archaeal large subunit ribosomal RNA", at positions 1920 to 2665 of the family's 2987-position model. Lineage: Eukaryota; Metazoa; Mollusca; Gastropoda; Nudibranchia; Chromodorididae. The record is from RNAcentral.
AGCCUUAAGAAUGGAUUUUAGGUUAUACCUGCCCAAUGUAUAAAAUGAAUGGCCGCGGUACUCUGACCGUGCUAAGGUAGCGCAAUCAAUUGGCUCUUAAUUGGGGUCAGGAAUGAAUGGAGUUACGGGGUUCAGCUGUCUCCUAAUUAAUUAAUUGAAGUUACUAUGUAGGUGAAAAAGUCUAUGUAUAGAAAAAGGACGAGAAGACCCUUAGAGUUUUACCUAAUGUAAUAUUAAGAAUCUAUUUAUUACACUGGUUUUGUUGGGGCAACACAGGAGCAAAUUAAAUUAGUUAAUCUCCUGAAUUUAAUGAACCGAUAGUUUUAAAUAUAAAUAAACUACCUUAGGGAUAACAGCAUAAUUUUAUAAAUAAGUUUGUGACCUCGAUGUUGGACUAGGAAACCUAAAGGCUAGUCGUCUUUAGGGAAAGUUCUGUUCGAACUAUUAUUCCU